GGACCAAGGAGUCUAACAUGCCUGCGAGUGUUUGGGUGGAAAACCCGGACGCGUAAUGAAAGUGAAAGUUGAGAUCCCUGUCAUGGGGAGCAUCGACGCCCGGACCAAAAGUUUUCUGACGGCCCUGCGGUAGAGCAUGUAUGUUGGGACCCGAAAGAUGGUGAACUAUGCCUGAAUAGGGUGAAGCCAGAGGAAACUCUGGUGGAGGCUCGUAGCGAUUCUGACGUGCAAAUCGAUCGUCAAAUUUGGGUAUAGGGGCGAAA
Molecule: ribosomal RNA, 263 nt
Filed under: Psathyrella griseovelata
Lineage: Eukaryota; Fungi; Basidiomycota; Agaricomycetes; Agaricales; Psathyrellaceae
Description: Psathyrella sp. IOI-2021a partial large subunit ribosomal RNA
Rfam family: Eukaryotic large subunit ribosomal RNA
Source: RNAcentral